Molecule: ribosomal RNA, 499 nt
Filed under: uncultured Glomeromycotina
Lineage: Eukaryota; Fungi; Glomeromycota
Description: partial small subunit ribosomal RNA
Rfam family: Eukaryotic small subunit ribosomal RNA
Source: RNAcentral
CCGAUAGCGUAUAUUAAAGUUGCUGCAGUUAAAAAGCUCGUAGUUGAAUUUCGGGACCAAUAUGUCGGUCGUGCUUCGGUACGUACUGUCAUUAUUGGUUUCUCCCUUCUGAAGAACCUUGAUGUCAUUAAUUUGGUGUCUUGGGGAAUCAGGACUGUUACUUUGAAAAAAUUAGAGUGUUUAAAGCAGGCUCGCGCUUGAAUACAUUAGCAUGGAAUAAUGAAAUAGGACGGUUGAUUCUAUUUUGUUGGUUUCUAGGAUCGACGUAAUGAUUAAUAGGGAUAGUUGGGGGCAUUAGUAUUCAAUUGUCAGAGGUGAAGUUCUUGGAUUUAUUGAAGACUAACUACUGCGAAAGCAUUUGCCAAGGGUGUUUUCAUUAAUCAAGAACGAAAGUUAGGGGAUCGAAGACGAUCAGAUACCGUCGUAGUCUUAACCAUAAACUAUGCCGACUAGGGAUCGGAUGAUGUUAAUUUUUUAAUGACUCAUUCGGCGCCUUGCG